Molecule: ribosomal RNA, 345 nt
Filed under: uncultured soil bacterium
Lineage: Bacteria
Description: bacterial SSU rRNA
Rfam family: Bacterial small subunit ribosomal RNA
Source: RNAcentral
AGAUUGAACGCUGGCGGCAUGCCUUACACAUGCAAGUCGGACGGCAGCACGGGAGCAAUCCUGGUGGCGAGUGGCGAACGGGUGAGUAAUAUAUCGGAACGUGCCCAGUCGUGGGGGAUAACGCAGCGAAAGCUGUGCUAAUACCGCAUACGAUCUAUGGAUGAAAGCGGGGGAUCGCAAGACCUCGCGCGAUUGGAGCGGCCGAUAUCAGAUUAGCUAGUUGGUGGGGUAAAGCCUACCAAGGCGACGAUCUGUAGCUGGUCUGAGAGGACGACCAGCCACACUGGAACUGAGACACGGUCCAGACUCCUACGGGAGGCAGCAGUGGGGAAUUUUGGACUAAGU